GAUGAACGCUGGCGGCGUGCCUAAUACAUGCAAGUCGAGCGAACAGACGAGGAGCUGCUCCUCUGACGUUAGCGGCGGACGGGUGAGUAACACGUGGAUAACCUACCUAUAAGACUGGGAUAACUUCGGGAAACCGGAGCUAAUACCGGAUAAUAUAUUGAACCGCAUGGUUCAAUAGUGAAAGACGGUUUUGCUGUCACUUAUAGAUGGAUCCGCGCCGCAUUAGCUAGUUGGUAAGGUAACGGCUUACCAAGGCAACGAUGCGUAGCCGACCUGAGAGGGUGAUCGGCCACACUGGAACUGAGACACGGUCCAGACUCCUACGGGAGGCAGCAGUAGGGAAUCUUCCGCAAUGGGCGAAAGCCUGACGGAGCAACGCCGCGUGAGUGAUGAAGGUCUUCGGAUCGUAAAACUCUGUUAUUAGGGAAGAACAAAUGUGUAAGUAACUAUGCACGUCUUGACGGUACCUAAUCAGAAAGCCACGGCUAACUACGUG
This 496-nucleotide ribosomal RNA is filed under the name uncultured bacterium. RNAcentral describes it as "partial 16S ribosomal RNA". It matches the Rfam family "Bacterial small subunit ribosomal RNA", at positions 28 to 507 of the family's 1533-position model. The record is from RNAcentral.